This 349-nucleotide ribosomal RNA is filed under the name uncultured Helicobacter sp. RNAcentral describes it as "bacterial SSU rRNA". It matches the Rfam family "Bacterial small subunit ribosomal RNA", at positions 84 to 450 of the family's 1533-position model. Lineage: Bacteria; Pseudomonadati; Campylobacterota; Epsilonproteobacteria; Campylobacterales; Helicobacteraceae. The record is from RNAcentral.
AGAGUGGAUUAGUGGCGCACGGGUGAGUAAUGCAUAGGUUAUGUGCCCCAUAGUCUGGGAUAGCCACUGGAAACGGUGAUUAAUACUAGAUACUCCUUACGAGGGAAAGUUUUUCGCUAUGGGAUCAGCCUAUGUCCUAUCAGCUUGUUGGUGAGGUAAUGGCUCACCAAGGCUAUGACGGGUAUCCGGCCUGAGAGGGUGAACGGACACACUGGAACUGAGACACGGUCCAGACUCCUACGGGAGGCAGCAGUAGGGAAUAUUGCUCAAUGGGCGAAAGCCUGAAGCAGCAACGCCGCGUGGAGGAUGAAGGUUUUAGGAUUGUAAACUCCUUUUGUUAGAGAAGAUU